UGUGAACAGUAGCCCACCGGCGCCACUGCAGUAUGCGACUAGCUUUGGCGUCACCUUAUUGGCAUGUGGUGAUCUAGCUGCGCGAACAGAUAGUACCGCGAAAAUACGCCGAGAUCUUUGAAAUUGUACACAAAAAUACAUGUGGUUGUGAAAUGUGAAUAGUAGCGUGUGUAGGAAUUUGAGGUUAUGUGAAACUUGAUUGCGUGUGUAUUGGAAACUGCGCAGACAUAAUUAUUGUGCUUUUGCGGAAUAAGUUACCCGAUGAGAAGUAUUCACUUGUACCAGAAAUGCUUCCGGAGUGUCUGUUUUGACACUAUAGUGCAUCCCAAACAGCUGAAGAAAUUUGCCUCUAGGUCUUACACUUCUCAUAACAAAUUUAAAAUGGGUGAUAGUUUACAGAGUGACAACAGUGAAGCCAGAGAGACAGCUCUCCAUCCACCAGCUACUGUUCGUGGGCUAACAAAAUUAGACAAAGUAGCUUUUUCGAAAAAUGUUGUGGUCCCUUGUAUAGAGUUUAAUGUCACAUCUGUGAAAUUACAGGAACUAAGGAAAACCGUGCAUAAAUAUUUAUUAAGAAUGGAAAACUUGAAACCAUUGCAAGUUAUCGGAAAUGCAGAAGCUGCUAAUGAUGAUGCGAAAAGUGUAAUGCGGAGAUUUCUGUUAAAUCCUACAAUUAUAACUUCUUUUAAUGACUUCUCAGAAGAAGAAAAAAUACAAUUGUUGAAACAAAACAUUACCGAAAAUUCUCUUUGUUUCACGAAUAUAAUGUUGAAUUUUGACAAUUGGAAAGCAGAGGUGUUGCUGAAGUCUGUGUUGCCUUUAGACUUGGAGCCACUCACUUCAUACUCGAUUAUUGGGCACAUUAUCCAUGUGAAUAUACGAGAACAUCUCUUCCCAUUUAAGAUUAUCAUUGGAGAAAUAUUGUUGGAAAAAAUUAAGAACGCUAAAACAGUUGUUAAUAAGACUGACAUCAUUGACAACACCUACAGGAACUUCAAAAUGGAAAUUCUGUGUGGGGAGAACAAUCUGAUUACUCAAGUAAGAGAGAAUCACUGUACAUUUGAGCUUGACUUCGCCACAGUUUAUUGGAAUCCUCGCUUGUCUACAGAGCAUGAGAGAAUAAUAACUAAGCUAAAGCCACGUGACGUAUUGUAUGAUGUGUUCGCAGGGAUCGGUCCAUUCGCAAUACCUGCGUGCAAACGUAAAUGUUUUGUUUUGGCAAAUGAUUUGAAUCCUGAGGCGCACAAGUGGCUUGUACGUAAUGGGCAGCUAAACAAGGUGUCAGAAUAUUUGACAACAUUCAAUAAGGAUGGAACAGAUUUCAUAAUAAAUGACGUUAAGAAAGAUAUGCUUGAACGCUGGAAGAAUGGAAAAUGUGAUGGUAGUACAAUGCACAUUACAAUGAACUUGCCAGCAUUGGCAGUAACGUUUCUGAAGGUGUUCAGUGGACUAUUUGAACAGGGUGACAAUGUGCCACCUGAUACGUUCAUUGAACCAGUUGUUCAUGUGUACUGCUUUUGCAAAGGUGACACUUCAGAUAAUGCAGCUAUCAGUUUGGUGGAAGAGAACUUGGGCCAUAAAAUUUCACAGAAUCUUUUAGAAGUCUACAACAUUAGAAAUGUUGCAGUGAACAAAGAUAUGAUGCGUGUUACAUUUAAGCUUACGAAAGAAAUUCUAGUUAACAAUCAGUCUAGAGACUUGUGUCAAGAUGGAGAACCAUCCAUGAAACGACGACGACCAGACUCUGAUGAUGGGGAAGGAAAAACAUAACAAAAAGAGUAAAAACAGUGUCUUUAAGGUUGCUGGUGCAAAGAGCUUAAAAGUGAAAAAUAAGGCUAAACCAGUGAACACUCAGUUGAAAAAGAUAAGUGAAAUAAAUCGCAAAAUGAUAAAAGACAUUGAUAAUCAGCUGGUAGAACUACAUACACAGCUGACACAGCCCUCAAAAACUGCAGCUCAGAAGACAGAGGAGAAAAGGCCUCUGCCUUCUGUCAGUCUACAGAAGGCACCAGUGGAAACUACAGAAGCAACAGAAAAAGUUUGUGCAAUGAAGCUCUGAACUUUUUUGUGUUAUCUUUUGUGUCUGGUGAAUAAAUGUUUUUAUGACUGUUGUUGAUCACGCUAAUGAAUACAAAUUUCUAUUUUAGAGUGA
RNA transcript from Schistocerca americana (American grasshopper), 2152 nucleotides. RefSeq lists it as uncharacterized. NCBI's taxonomy places the organism in Eukaryota, Metazoa, Arthropoda, Insecta, Orthoptera, Acrididae. The transcript has 4 exons. The record is from RefSeq and is a predicted model, not a curated record.